UAGGGAAUCUUCCGCAAUGGACGAAAGUCUGACGGAGCAACGCCGCGUGAGUGAAGAAGGAUUUCGGUUCGUAAAACUCUGUUGUUAGGGAAGAAAAAAUGUAUAGUAACUAUAUACAAAAGAGACGGUACCUAACCAGAAAGCCACGGCUAACUACGUGCCAGCAGCCGCGGUAAUACGUAGGUGGCAAGCGUUGUCCGGAAUUAUUGGGCGUAAAGCGCGCGCAGGUGGUUUAGAAGUCUGAUGUGAAAGCCCACGGCUCAACCGUGGAGGGUCAUUGGAAACUAAUAAACUUGAGUGCAGGAGAGAAAAGUGGAAUUCCUAGUGUAGCGGUGAAAUGCGUAGAGAUUAGGAGGAACACCGGUGGCGAAAGCGGCUUUUUGGCCUGCAACUGACACUGAGGCGCGAAAGCGUGGGGAGCAAACAGG
Molecule: ribosomal RNA, 428 nt
Filed under: Verrucomicrobiota bacterium
Lineage: Bacteria; Pseudomonadati; Verrucomicrobiota
Description: Verrucomicrobia bacterium partial 16S ribosomal RNA
Rfam family: Bacterial small subunit ribosomal RNA
Source: RNAcentral